Molecule: long non-coding RNA, 6977 nt
Filed under: Sus scrofa (pig)
Lineage: Eukaryota; Metazoa; Chordata; Mammalia; Artiodactyla; Suidae
Description: lncRNA (ENSSSCG00040002796.1)
Source: RNAcentral
AGCCACAGCAACGCAGGAUCCGAGCCACAUCUGCAACCUACACCACAGCUCAUGGCAACGCCUGAUCCUUAACCCACUGAGCAAGGGCAGGGAUUGAACCCGCAACCUCAUGGUUCCUACUCGGAUUCCUUAACCACUGUGCCGUGACGGGAACUCUUAAAACAAUUGUUUUGAAUGUAAAGACAGAAAAUGUUAUGUUGAAGUAUGAAAAGUACAAAAAUUUCUGCCUCCGAGAAUGAAAAGUAUAAUUGUUUUUAAAAUUUAAGUUCUUUAGGGAGUUUCCUGUCAUCUUUCUGUUAUUAACUUCUAGUUGAAUUAUAUUACGGUUUUAGAAAAUACUUUGUAUACUUUCAAUUUUUUUUAAUGUAUAUUAGGCUUUGCUUUCUGUGAAUGUUGUAUGUGUACUUAAAAAGAGUAUGACUUCUAUUAUUGUUGCAUGGAAUGUUGUAUAACCACUGCAGAGGUUUCCUUAGUUGAUGAUCUUGUUCAGUCUUAGGCUCUUGCUGAUUUUCUGCCUGUUAAUUCUAAUACUGACAGAGAAGUGUUGAAGUAUACUUGUCAAUUUGUCUAUUUCUUAUUUUGUCAGUUUUUGUUUCACAUAUUACGAAGCUCUGUUUGGUGCUAAAUACAUUUAAUUGUUGUGGCUUCUUGUUGAAUUGACUAUUUUACCAUUAUGUAAUUCCACUUUAUGCGUGGUAAUUUUCUUUGCUCUGAGGUCUGUUUUUGUCUUUAAAGAAUAUAGCCAAUUUCUACUUGUUUUUCUUUAUUUCAUUUUUAUUGACAAGAUUUUCUAUUUCAGUAUUUGUUGCAAGAAUGUGACUGCUUGUAUGAGCAUUUUUAUAAUAGUUGUUUUACAGUCUUAUCUUACUGGAAUUUUUCAUGAUUUAAUUCAUGUUAUGCAAACUUGGCAAUCAUGCUUCUGAAGUAAUAUUGUGCCAUUUCUUCUGCAUCAUAUGUGCAUAAUAUCAGUUUGUCUUAAUACAUGGAUGUUAACUUUUGAUCUCUUGGUUAAAGUAUACCAGGGUUUUCCACUGUAAAGUUACUGCUUUUCCCUUUCAAUUUUAUAUGUAUCUUAUGGAGAUAUAAUUUGAGAUUAUGCAAAUGUCUUUUUUUUUUUUUUUUUUUUUUUUUUUGUCUUUUUAGGGCCGCAGCCAUGGCAUAUGGUUCCCAGGCUAGUGGUCGAAUCGGAGCUGUAGCUGCUGGUCUUUGCCACAGUCAUAGCAACGUGGGAUCUGAGCUGCGUCUGUGAUCUACAUCACAGAUCACGACAAUGCCAGAUCCUUAACCCAUUGAGCAAGGUGAGAGCUUGAACCCGUGUUCUUAUGGAUACUACUUUGUUUUAUUAUUGCUGAGCCACCACAGGAACUCCAAAUGUCGUGUUUCUUAUCAUGCCAUGAUGAUUGUGUUAGUUUUUAUCUCAUUUUGUUUAAAAUUUCCAUUAUUCCUUCCAAAUUUAUUAAUUGGAAUUCUGCAAGGAAGAGCUGUCCCUUCUCACCAUUUUAUUUAUUUAACAAGAUAUUUAUGUUAGUAUGGACUCACUGAUAUUUAUUUCAUUUUUUUGGUUAUAAUACUAUCAUUAUUUUGUUGCUGUGGCUGACAGGUUUUGGCCAUUGGCUUUCACCAUUAGAUUGGCUCUUCUGUCCUUUUAAUAUGUUCCCAUGUUUAUUGAACAUUGCUAUAACUUUCUAACACCACAGUAUAUUUUAGGCACAUCUUGUUUUGCCACCACCCCAACUCUGGCAUUGGUCCUUUCUAUAGGGAAUCCUGGUUUCCGUUUUCAGAGAACAGUUUUUAGAAAACUAUUUCUGUGCUCAUUGCUGCUGGGAUAUCAUUUUUUCCAGACCUUCACAAUCAAUAAAGCUUGGAAGUAUACAUUUAUAUGCACAUACAUAGACAUCCCUAUUUCUAUGUAUAUUUUACUGUAUGUUUGUGUUUAUGUAUGGUUUUCUUUCAUGUGUUUUCCAUGUUAAACCAUGAAUUCCUAUUACUGUGUCUGAUUCCAGUUAAAAGUUCAGGAUUCUUUUUAUUCUAGUCUUUUUUUUUUCUUAAAUAUAAUUCAUUUUUUUUUGAAAAUGAGAACCCUGACUCUCAUUAUUCUCAGCAUAUAUACUUGAUUACUCAGUUUUAGAACGUUAGAAUUUUUUGUUUUUGUGUAUAUGUCUAAACCAUGAAGAGUUUCAGAAUUACUAAAAUAGACCCUUCUGAGAAGCAAAUUUCCUAACUACAGUAUUUCUGUACAGUUCUGUUUGCCUUUAGUCUUACAGUGUAUAGUCAAAAAUACUGUUUGUUAUUUUAUUAUCCACCCUGUUUGGUUUGUUUCUGUCAUCUAUUUGGUUUACACUUAGGUUUGUUAUUAUUUGCAUUCCAUUUUGAGAUUCCCUUACAUGCUGGUAAGGUUGAAUAUGUGUUUACUUUUUGGUUGUAUGAAACAUUACCAUGGUUCCAAGUGUCAGAUCUGUACAAAAAGGUUUACAAAGAGAAGUGUCACUCCCUUCCACAUUUCUAAUACCUUUUCCCCAUUUUCUGAUCCUUACUACCCUAUUCCCAACCACCUCCUGUAGGUAACCCAUCUUAGUAGUUUCUGCUCUAUCCUUGUGUUUCUUUUUUGCACAAAUAAACUAGUACAUGUAUAUUUUUAUAUAUCUCAUUUUUUAUUACAUGAAAGAUUGCACUCUAUAGCUGUGGUUUUGGAUUUUUUUUUUCUCAUUUCCAGUGUAUACGGGAAAUCAAUUCAUAUCAGGUCAUAGAGAUUUUCCUCAUUCUUUGUUUUUAUUGCUACAUUGUACCUCAUUGUUUGGAUGGACUGUAAUUUAUUUAACUCUUGCGUAUGGACAUUGAGAUUUUUUCUGGUGUUUCCCAAUUGCAAACAAGGCUAAAAUGAAUAAAUUUGUAUAUAUAAAUUUUCAUUUUGUUUAAUAUAUAUCUAUGGGAUAGAUAGUCCUAUAAGUUAUUAGUUGCUUUUAAAUAUUACCAAAUAUCCCUUCCAAAAAUGAUUGUACAGUUUGCAUUGCACCAUUCAUAUAUGGGAGUUCCUAUGUCCUCACAACUUUGCCAACUGAAUGUGUUUUCCUCAUAGACAUCUGUGUCUAUAUGUAUGUAUUUGUUUUAAGCAAAUGUAGGAUCUUAACGAACAUGCUGUUUUUAUUUUUUCCGUUUAACAAUAAACCAUAGUCAUAAGUGUGUGUGUGUUGUAUGUGUUUGUAUAUGUAUAUAUGCACACAUAAUGCAUUAGGUACACAUAGGUACAUAUAUUUGCAGUGGCUUCUUACUUUUCCUUUAUACGUAUUUAUCACAUUUAGUCAAGCCUGUCUUAAUGAAACUUUUUUCCGUCUUUUAUGUAUCAUAUACAAUGGUGUGAUUAUUUUGGAAUAGUUGUAAACUCACAUAUAGUUGUAAGAAAUAGCACAGAGAGAGCCCAUGUAUUGUUUACCUAGUUCUCAGUGGUAACAUUUUUCAAAAUAUGCGGAAAUACAAUAAGGGUAUCGAUAUUGAUACAGUCCAGUCACUGAUUUUAUUCACAUUUCUCAAUUUUCGUAUUUUAAAAAUAUUGCCAAUCUGGUGAGGAAUGACAUCUCAGUGAAUUUUAAAUUUGCAUUAAAAAUUUUUUUGAGUGAGUUUGAUCAUUUUCUCAAUUUAAAUAUCAUCUUUAUAAGUUUUUUUAUGUGAGUAACUACUUCUUUUCCCAUUUAGCUAUUGGAUUUUUUUUUUUUUAAUGGCCACACCUGUAGCAUAUGGAUGUUCCAGGGCUAGGGACUGAAUUGGAGUUACAGCUGAGGCCUACGCCACUGCCAUGACAAUACAAGAUCCAAACCUCAUCUGUAACGUAUGCCACAGCUUAUAGCAACGCCAGAUCCUCAACCCACUGAACAAGGCCAGGGAUUACUGGGUCCUUAACUCUUUGAACCACAAUGAGAACUUCUCCAUUGGAUUUUUGAUAAUUUUUUCCUGCAAUUUUAAAGAAUUCUUUAUAUGUUUAAAGGGAUGUGGCCCUAUGUGGAAAUAAAUUGCAAAUAUUUUCUCCAAGUUUGUUGUCUUCCUUUUUUUUUUCAAUUUAGAUAUCACUUACAAAUAAUUUAAAAUAGACAACGCCAUAGAUUUUUGUUUAUUCAUUCACUGAUUGAAGGACUUUUUGGCCUCUCCAGUUUUUGCCUCUAUGAAUAUUUGCAUACCAGUUUUGAUAUAUAGAUAUAUUAUUUUCAUCUUAGGGAAAUACCUAGGGGUAGGAUUACUGGAUCAUAUUUUAAGAGUAUGUCUAACUUAUUUAUGUCUCUUGAGACUGACAGUUUUCAAACAAAGCUUUAUCAUUUUAUAUUCCCACCUGAAAUGUAUAAAAGUUUACAGUUGUUCUUCAUCUUUACUAGCACUUCAUAUUUUUUUCUUAAAGCUAUUCUAGUAGGUGUUUAGUAGUAUCUUAUCAAUUUUAAUUUGCAUUUCUCUAGUGACUAUGAUGUUGGAUAUCUUUUCAUGUGUUAUUCGACAUCUGUAUCUUCUUUGGUGAAAUGUCCUAUUUUUUUGACCAUUUUUAAUUGAGUUGUUUGUCUUAAUUUGAGGUAGCAUGUUUCUUUAUAUUUUCCAGAUAGAAGCCCUUUGUCAGACAUGUAUUGUGAAUAUUUUCUCCCAUUGUUUGUGAUGCAUUUUUAUUUUCUUAAAGGAUAUCAUUCAGAGAUGAGAAAUUUUUUUGAUGAAAUUCCUUCAUGAUUGUUUUUAAUGGUUUGUGGAUUUAAAAAAUUUUACAUGAAGAAUACUUAUGUAAUACCAAGUUGGGAAAAAUAUUGUUUUCUUCUAGGAGUUUCAUAAUUUUACUUCUUAUGUUUAGGUCUUUGAUCCAUUUCAAGUUAAUUUUUACAUUUUGCAUUAAGUAAUGGUCAAUGCCUAUUAUUUUUGCAUGUGGAUAUUCAGUUGUUCUAGCAUUAUUGCUGGAAAAGACUUCCCUUUUCUUAUUGAACUGACUUGACACCUUUGUCAGAAACGAUUUGUCUGUGUAUUUGUUGCUCUAGUUCUGUUCCAUUUUGUUCCUUUGAUCUGUUUUUUUCCCCUUUUACUAAUACCAUGAUCUUGAUUAUUGUAGAUUUUUAUUAAGUCAUCAUGUAUUUUGUCUUUAAACAUUUUUCUCUUCUAAAAAAUUGCUUUAACUAUUCUAGCUUAUUUCCAUUGCCCAUAUAAAUUUCGGUAGCUGUUUUAUCUGGAAGUAAUUUUUGGCUUUUUCUUUCAGAAAAUUCUCAUAGAUAAUUUUUGUUUCUGAGUAUUUUAAAGUUAGAUAAUGACUUUCUUCUGUGUUUAUACUUAAAAAACAACAGCAUAGUAAUUUUAGUUCACCCUUUCUUUUUCUCAGAACUUUGUUAUACUUGCUCUGUUCUCUGGCAUUUCAAUAUUGCUGUGGAUAAUUCUGGAGAAAGCCUGUUCCCCUUCUCUCCACUAGAUACUUAGUUCUCUUUUCUUAAACUAAAGCAUUUUAAAUUAAUAAAUUUUAUUUUAUAGAACAGUUUUAGACAUACAGAAAAAUCAAGCAGAUAGUACAGAGAGUUCCUAUAAGAAUUCUCAAUGGGUAGGUAAUAUUUUGAUACUACCUUCUCUACCCAAUCACAGAGUUCGCCCAUUUUGCACCAGUGUGGUACACUUAUUACAGCUAAUGAACCAUUAUUCAUAUAUUACUAUUAACUAUAUUCUAUAAAGUUCACUCUUUGUGUAUAACACUAUGGGUUUGAUAAAUGCAUGAUAUCAUGUAUCCAGCAUUACAGUAUCACACAGAAUAGUUUCUUCUGUGCUCCAUCUGUUCAUCCUUCCCUCUCCUCCCAAUCCCAGCAACCAUUGAUCCUUUUACUGUCUCUAUAGUUUUGCCUUUUCCAUGUUGCAUAGUCAGAAUUAUACAAUAUGCAUCCCUAUCCCUUCUUUCACUUAAUAUGCAUUAAAGUUUCCUUCAUGUCUUUUCAUACCUUGAUAGCUCAUUUCUUUUUAGUGCUGAAAAAUAUUCCAUUGUCUUGAUAUAUUGUUUACCAUUCACCAAUUAAAGAACAUCUUGGUUGCUUCUGAUUUUUCAUGACUGAUAUAUUGUUGUUACCUGAAGUCCAUAGCUUUAUGAAUAGAGCUGCUAUAAACAUGAAUGUGCAGGCUGUUUUGCAGAGAAAAGUUUUUAGCUCCUUUGGGUAAAUAUCAAGGAAUGUGAUUGCUGGAUUAUAUGGUAAGAGUAUGUUUAGUUUUGUGUGUAGUAGUAUCUCAUCAUUUUAAUUUGCAAUUCUCUUAUGAUAUAUAGUGUUGAGUAUCUUUUCAUAUUCUUAAUUUGCCAUUUGUGUAUCUUCUUUGGUGAGGUGACUAUUCAGAUAUUUUGUUUAUUUUCUUGACUGAAUUUCUUAUUUUCUUAUUGAGUUUUUUAAAAUAUUAAAUGAUUUUUUCCAUUAUAGCUGGUUUAUAGUGUUCUGUCAAUUUUCUGCUGUACAGCAAAGUGACCCAGUCACGCAUAUAUAUAUAUAUACAUUCUUUUUCUCACAUUAUUCUCCAUCAUGCUCCAUCAUAAGUGACUAGAUAUAGUUCCCAGUACUAUACAGCAGGAUCUCAUUGCUUAUCCAUUAUCAUUGAGUUUUAAGAGUUCUUUGUAUAUUUUGGGUACAGGUCAUUUAUCUGAUAUGUAUUUUGCAAAUAUUUUCUCCUACUAUGGCUUGUCUCUCUUCUUUGUAUUGUGUUCCACAGAGUAGUACUAUUUAAUAAAGUCCAACUUAUCAAUUUUUUUUUCAUCAAGAUUUUCUUUAAUGGAUCAUGCUUUGUUGUUGUAUCUAAAAUGUAUUUAAAGGAAGUAUUUAAGACAAUUAUGGUAUAGAUGGGGGAGGGUGAAGGACAUAAAGGAAGGUUGGUUUCUACAUUUAACUUGAGCUAGUAGAAUGUUGACACAGUAAACUGCAAUAAGUAAUGUAUAUAUAAUAUGGAACAACCACUAAAAACCAUAUAAAGAAAAAUGCUAAUAACACAAGCAAUAAAUCAGAGUU